GGAAGAUCAGUCUGUAGCUUUUCCAUUUUUUCCCCUUUUAACUGUUACAUAGAAGAUUGUCCUGUUGUGGUUCGCCGGCAGCAGGUGCAGAUGGCUGAGGUCUCGGAGAGCGAGGACUCAGAUGAGGGGCCUGCGUGUGAUGCAGGGAUGGCACCAGGACCAUCAGGGAGUAGAAGGCUGCCUUCGGAGAUUGUGGAGGCUGGCAGCAGUGAUGAAGAGGCCCCUGAAGAGCCUGUGCCCAGAGCGCAUGCACGCAGGGCUGCUCGAAGGGAAGAACAGCUGUAGCAGCACAGGUCUUGGGAUUCUCACUAGGGGUUCAUCAAUUCUGGAGUUGAAGGUCCACAAAUCCAGAUGGCACCUCGAUUGAGAAAUCUGACCAGAAUUUGUACUCAAUAAUGCCAAAGAAUGUACAGCCAUUUUUGAUUCUCAGCUUGCCAACAACCCGAGGGCAGAGGGAGAGAAAGAGUGUACAAUCCCGGUGACGAGACAACCAUGGGGACCAAGGACAUUUCAACAGGUGUUUGCCAGAACCAAAAAAGACUUUCUCACAACAAUAUUAAGAAAUACAAUUGGACAAUGGGACCUGGCCUAAUAACGGGAGGGAGAACCUAUACUUUAACUAUAUGGCUUUGCAUGGGAAAUAGCUAGAUCUGGUUUUACUUUCAUACGUGCCGAAAUUAUGUACUCAAUAAAGUUUUGCAUAAGGAG
This 708-nucleotide long non-coding RNA is filed under the name Naja naja (Indian cobra). RNAcentral's name for it is "lncRNA (ENSNNAG00000016571.1)". Lineage: Eukaryota; Metazoa; Chordata; Lepidosauria; Squamata; Elapidae. The record is from RNAcentral.